This 64-nucleotide transfer RNA is filed under the name Anapodisma miramae. RNAcentral describes it as "tRNA-Cys". Lineage: Eukaryota; Metazoa; Arthropoda; Insecta; Orthoptera; Acrididae. The record is from RNAcentral.
GGCUUUAUAUUCAAUUAUGAUUUUAGACUGCAAUUCUAUAGGUGUAAAUAAAUUACUAAGGCCU